Long non-coding RNA from Patella vulgata (common limpet), 2232 nucleotides. RefSeq lists it as uncharacterized. The transcript has 5 exons. Lineage: Eukaryota; Metazoa; Mollusca; Gastropoda; Patellidae. The record is from RefSeq and is a predicted model, not a curated record.
UUGGAGACCCGAUUGGCGGCCAUUUUGAUUCUUGUUUCAUGAUUUUUUUUAUAUUAUAACGAUUUUGCCAAGAGUAGACAUAAACGCGGGCACAGACUAGAAAAAAUCUUUUUACACUUUUGUGUUAGUUGAAUUGUAAUCUAAUUUAUGUUUAAAAAAACAACCUUAAAUCAAAUAAGCAGAUAUUUUCCCCAAACCCUCCGUUCAACCUCCGACUCUGUCACUCUGUGGAAUAUUAUUAGGCCCCUAUUUUCCUGAUUCAGUCACAGUUAAUAAAUAAUAAAUAAUGGAACUAGAAUCAGUCUGUGGAAGUUUCUCUAUAGUUUCAUUAUUUUUUCCAGUCAGUGAUGAUAUGACUCAUUCCACCUUACAGUUACAGCAAUUACCGUAUUGAGAAUUUACCGUUCAAGGACUCCAUUUUGGCAUUGAAUUGGAAUUUGAAGAAAAACUGUUUCAAUAUUGGAUGUAUAUGCAAAUCACCCAGGAAAAGAUCAUGUAACAAAAGAAAUUAUAAAAGUAAAAAAAUGGAAGAAGAAAUGGCUGGAAAAAAUGAUGAUAGAGCAGCUUUUUCUUGUUAGCCACCUCGGAAGAUCAAGACAGCUGGAAAGGGCUAUUGAUAUUGUGGAAGUGUUUUCUUACAGAGGUUGCUUAUCAGACAAAGGCUAUUUAACUACAUCAGAAAGAUAAAAACAGUUGGAAAUGGCUAUUCAUAUUGUGGAAACUUUUCUCACAGAGCUUGAUAAUCAGGCAAAAUGCUGGAACACCCUUGAAAGAGUAUUUGGUGUAUGAUAACAACAAGAGAACCCAAGCAUCAAUUUAUACUUCUGGGAAAGAAUGCAUUUGACCCAAUUUUUAAAUAUUUAUUUUUUGUUAUUAAUGUUAAAUUUUCUUCCAAAACACAAUUAGAUUUUAAUUCUCUUCAAAUAUGUAUGUAUAAUAUAGCAAGUAAACUGACAUAUAAAUCACUUAGAAUUUGGUCGGAAAUCAUAAAGUAUUUAAUAGGCAUUACUAGAAACCAAAUGUAGAUCAAAUACACCCAGAAUUACAAAAAACCUUGACCUACAUUAAGGUGACUUUCCCUUGCUUAUGAAAUGAAAUACGUUUUAAUAUCCUGCUUUUCUGUGUUCUUAGAGUGAUUCUACCCUACCCUUAUAUCAAAUAUUUCAACUGUCAAGGGUUCUUUAAAGGGUACCCAGGGGGGGCCGAAUGGUUAACACGCACACAUUUGAUCAGAAGGUCUGUCAUUGAUUCAAAUAAUUCAAUUUUCAAGGGUUCUUCAAAGUGUACGCAGUUGGGUUGGUUUCAAUUCUGGGGGGUGGGGGUGGAUGGCCGAAUGGUUAGCACGUGCAUGCUGUAUCAUACGGCCUCCUGUCAUUGAGUCAACUGGCAUGGUUUCGAAUCCCCGGUUGUAGACAAGGAGUGGGGUCGCCUGUCCAAUCUUGUGGGUUUUCUCCGGGACCUCCGGUUUCCUCCCACUGCUAAAGACCCCUACGCGCUAGCGAAUUAUUGAAAUAAAAUUAAACCAUAUGUUAGUCCCAAAAUGAUCUAGUUUGUGUCGAGUAGACGUUAAACCCCAUUUCUCUCUGUCUCUCUCUCUUUUGAUUCUGGGCUUGUACCCAAUUAUCCCUUGCCAUAUCCAACACUGAAAAGUGGGAACUAUGCCGGAAAAUCCAGUUGAAAUUUCGCGGCCAACGCCUUAUGCUCACUGAACCACUGUGGCUUAUGACUUGUGAUUGUAUAUAAAUCUUUUGUACAUAUGAUAUUUUUUUAUUUCAAUCCUGUAAUCUUGAUGCUUUGCUUCUUUUAUUUAUAAAAUAUUCAUUUUGUUUGGGGUUUUUUUAAUGAGGAAAAGGCUCUACAUCAUUUUAUUACUCCUGCAAAAUAGAGCAAUUUUCUUUUGUUAGUUUUCUGUGUAUGCUAGUUAUUUCUAGAUGCCUCACAAAUCACUUGUAGUGUGAUUUUGUAACAUUUUUCAGUUUUUGAAAUUGUUUCAAUUUAGUGCAUAAUUAAUCUUAUUAGUGCUUAGUUUGGAUGUUAUUAAAUUUAGAUAUAUUUGAAUUAUAUAUUUUGGGGUAUGGGGUAGGGAUACUGUGUACAUAUCUUUAUAUUCUCAGUUCUUGUUUUGGGGUAAAGAACAAUUUAAAUAGCUAUUUUAUAUUUUGUGAUGGGUAAAGUGUGUGGGGCAAAAAACAAUUUAAAUAGCUAUUUUAUAUUUUGUGAUGGGUAAAGUGG